CGGGCAGUGGCGCAAUGAUAACGCGCCUGUCUACGGAUCAGGAGAUUCCAGUUCGAAUACUGGCUGUCUCGG
Molecule: transfer RNA, 72 nt
Filed under: Trichonephila clavata
Lineage: Eukaryota; Metazoa; Arthropoda; Arachnida; Araneae; Nephilidae
Description: tRNA-Arg
Rfam family: tRNA
About the family: Transfer RNA (tRNA) molecules are approximately 80 nucleotides in length. Their secondary structure includes four short double-helical elements and three loops (D, anti-codon, and T loops).
Source: RNAcentral